CGUUAUGGCGGCUGUGCGUGGGCAGACUUCGGUCUGGCCGGGUCCUACUAACCGGUAUUUCCACCCUGCGUACAGCGGCCACCUAU
RNAcentral lists this non-coding RNA (86 nucleotides) under Pseudomonas sp. OV226. The record is from RNAcentral. Lineage: Bacteria; Pseudomonadati; Pseudomonadota; Gammaproteobacteria; Pseudomonadales; Pseudomonadaceae.